UUUCCGGUUGAUCCCGCCGGACCUGACUGCUAUCGGAUUGAUACUAAGCCAUGCGAGUCUUUGUAGUAAUACAAGGCAUACGGCUCAGUAACGCGUAGUCAACCUACCCUAUGGACAAGAAUAAUCUCGGGAAACUGAGCAUAAUUCUUGAUAGAUCAUAAUGCCUGGAAUGGUUUAUGGUUAAAAUGAUUCGUCGCCAUAGGAUGGGACUGCGGCCUAUCAGCUUGUUGGUGAGGUAAUAGCCCACCAAGGCGAUAACAGGUACGGGCUCUGAGAGGAGAAGCCCGGAGAUGGGUACUGAGACAAGGACCCAGGCCCUAUGGGGCGCAGCAGGCGAGAAAACUUUGCAAUGAGCGAAAGCACGACAAGGUUAGUCCGAGUGAUUUCUGCUAAAGAGAUCUUUUGCUAGUUAUAAAACCACUAGUGAAUAAGGGGUGGGCAAGUUCUGGUGUCAGCCGCCGCGGUAAAACCAGCACCUCAAGUGGUCAGGAUGAUUAUUGGGCCUAAAGCAUCCGUAGCCGGCUCUGUAGGUUUUCGGUUAAAUCUAUGCGCUCAACGUAUGGGCUGCCGAAAAUACUGCAGAGAUAGGGAGUGGGAGA
RNAcentral lists this ribosomal RNA (599 nucleotides) under uncultured archaeon. Its description in RNAcentral is "bacterial SSU rRNA". It matches the Rfam family "Archaeal small subunit ribosomal RNA", at positions 1 to 606 of the family's 1478-position model. The record is from RNAcentral.